This 253-nucleotide ribosomal RNA is filed under the name uncultured bacterium. RNAcentral's name for it is "partial 16S ribosomal RNA". It matches the Rfam family "Bacterial small subunit ribosomal RNA", at positions 524 to 776 of the family's 1533-position model. The record is from RNAcentral.
UACGUAGGGUGCAAGCGUUGUCCGGAAUUAUUGGGCGUAAAGAGCUCGUAGGCGGUCUGUCGCGUCGGCUGUGAAAACCCAGGGCUCAACCCUGGGCCUGCAUUCGAUACGGGCAGACUAGAGUUCGGUAGGGGAGACUGGAAUUCCUGGUGUAGCGGUGAAAUGCGCAGAUAUCAGGAGGAACACCGGUGGCGAAGGCGGGUCUCUGGGCCGAAACUGACGCUGAGGAGCGAAAGCGUGGGGAGCAAACAGG